GAUGAACGCUGGCGGCGUGCCUAAUACAUGCAAGUCGAGCGAACAGACGAGGAGCUUGCUCCUCUGACGUUAGCGGCGGACGGGUGAGUAACACGUGGAUAACCUACCUAUAAGACUGGGAUAACUUCGGGAAACCGGAGCUAAUACCGGAUAAUAUAUUGAACCGCAUGGUUCAAUAGUGAAAGACGGUUUUGCUGUCACUUAUAGAUGGAUCCGCGCCGCAUUAGCUAGUUGGUAAGGUAACGGCUUACCAAGGCAACGAUGCGUAGCCGACCUGAGAGGGUAAUCGGCCCCUCUGGACCUGCACCCCCGCCCAGCCCCCUAGGGGGGGCCGCAGUGGGAAAUCUUCCCCAAUGGGCGAAAGCUUGACGGAGCAACCCCGCGUGAGUGAUGAAGGUCUUCGGUUCGUAAACCUCUUUUUUUAGGGAAGAACAAAUGUGUAAGUAACUAUGCCCCUCUUGCCGGUACCUAAUCAAAAAGCCCCGGCUAACUACGU
RNAcentral lists this ribosomal RNA (496 nucleotides) under uncultured bacterium. RNAcentral's name for it is "partial 16S ribosomal RNA". It matches the Rfam family "Bacterial small subunit ribosomal RNA", at positions 28 to 506 of the family's 1533-position model. The record is from RNAcentral.